RNAcentral lists this unclassified non-coding RNA (1125 nucleotides) under Hevea brasiliensis (rubber tree). Lineage: Eukaryota; Viridiplantae; Streptophyta; Magnoliopsida; Malpighiales; Euphorbiaceae. The record is from RNAcentral.
GACUGAACUCACAAGUCGUAAUAACUCGUAACCAGUUUAGAUUUUCACAGAAAACGACAAAAUAAAUAACCUCCCAAUUCCAGAAAAAUUCCCUUCGAAUUUCCCAGUUCUAACUAUUCGCGAUUCAAUCUUCAAAAUAUUGUCGAAGGAAGAUGGAGUUCGAUAAGCCUCAAAUUUAUCACGAGAAGCAAAGAUUGCAAUUCUGCCUUUUGCACGCCCUCAACAAUCUCUUCCAGGUACUAUUCCCUAUUCCUUUCUCUCUUCUCUUCUAAUUUGUUUGCUCUAUUCGAUUUUUUCACAAAAAAACCUUUCAUAAUCAGAACCCAUGUCACUCAUUUCAGCAAAAGGAUGAGUUUACUCGAGCCAGCUUGGAUGCAAUUGCUCAGAAACUCGUUUUGGAUGAUCCAAACAAGCAGAACCAGACACCCUUUUCUAUUGUCUUCAAGCCUCAUCAUAAUUCCCUCACUGGAAACUAUGACAUCAACGUCUUGAUAGCCGCCCUUGAAGAGAAAGGUAAGACUGUAGCUUGGCAUGACCGGCGAAAUGGGGCUUCUUCAAUUCAUCUUGAUAAUCAUAGUAAUGGGUCUGAAGAUAGUAAAUUGUUUGGUAUAGUGCUUAAUGUUCAAGUUAGACGGUAUGCUGGGCUUUGGAAGAGUAGGCAUUGGGUUGCUUUGAGAAAGAUUGGCGGGGUUUGGUAUAAUUUGGACAGUGAUCUUAGUGAGCCUAUGGCUUUUCAGGAUGCUGAUAAGGUCAGGGGAUUCUUGGAUUGCAUUAUUGGUCAGGGUGGGGAAGUGUUGCUUGUCAUGAAUGAGAAAGAGUGACUUCUCUUUUCUUUUGGUUUUGAGUGGUCAUAGAACUUUGUAUACAUCAAUCUUUGUGUACUUACACUUCAAUAGCAAAACGAAAUGCAGCAGUCUUUCUUCAAGAUUUCUUUCUUCUUCUCUUACAUUUUUUUAAUCAUUUGAUUUAGGGUGAUUUAGUAAGUUGGGGGUGAAUUCUUCCCAUUCCACUUUGAAGCGCGUGAUUAAGAAAAUAAUUUGUGCUUCAUGCAAAUUACUAAGGGAGUAAAGAGAAAAUGUUGCCAAGGGGUUCAUGUGGCAGCUAGAUCUCAGAAGUGAGCUUAGG